RNAcentral lists this ribosomal RNA (110 nucleotides) under Caerostris darwini. The record is from RNAcentral. Lineage: Eukaryota; Metazoa; Arthropoda; Arachnida; Araneae; Araneidae.
ACGGCCGUACCAUGCUGAAUAUACCGGUUCUCGUUAGAUCACCGAAGUCAAGCAUCAUUGGGCGCGGUCAGUACUUGGGUGGGUGACCACCUGGAAACACUGCGUGCAGU